GGAGUUGGCCAGGCAGUCGCCCCGCUUGCGGGGAGGAAAGUCCGGGCUCCACAGGGCAGGGUGCCAGGUAACACCUGGGGGACGCGAGUCCAUGGAAAGUGCCACAGAAAAUAUACCGCCUGCCAGCGUAUUCGUACGCGAAGCGGGUAAGGGUGAAAUGGUGCGGUAAGAGCGCACCGCGCGUCUGGUAACAGGCGUGGCAGGGUAAACCCCAUCCGGAGCAAGACCAAAUAGGGGAACGAUCAUGCGGCCCGCAUGGUUCCCGGGUAGGUCGCUCGAGGUGCACGGUGACGUGCAUCCCAGAUGAAUGACUG
RNAcentral lists this RNase P RNA (314 nucleotides) under Gammaproteobacteria bacterium. RNAcentral's name for it is "partial RNase P RNA component class A". It matches the Rfam family "Bacterial RNase P class A", at positions 1 to 318 of the family's 367-position model. Rfam says of the family: Ribonuclease P (RNase P) is a ubiquitous endoribonuclease, found in archaea, bacteria and eukarya as well as chloroplasts and mitochondria. Its best characterised activity is the generation of mature 5'-ends of tRNAs by cleaving the 5'-leader elements of precursor-tRNAs. The record is from RNAcentral. Lineage: Bacteria; Pseudomonadati; Pseudomonadota; Gammaproteobacteria.